GGGGGCAUAGCUCAGUUGGGAGAGCAGUAGACUGAAGCUUCGAGCGUAUUCUAAAGGUCCCGCGUUCAAUCCGCGGUGCCCCCA
Molecule: transfer RNA, 84 nt
Organism: Coprinopsis cinerea okayama7#130
Lineage: Eukaryota; Fungi; Basidiomycota; Agaricomycetes; Agaricales; Psathyrellaceae
Rfam family: tRNA
About the family: Transfer RNA (tRNA) molecules are approximately 80 nucleotides in length. Their secondary structure includes four short double-helical elements and three loops (D, anti-codon, and T loops).
Source: Rfam